This is a long non-coding RNA of Leopardus geoffroyi (Geoffroy's cat), 640 nucleotides long. RefSeq lists it as uncharacterized. The record is from RefSeq and is a predicted model, not a curated record. The transcript has 3 exons. NCBI's taxonomy places the organism in Eukaryota, Metazoa, Chordata, Mammalia, Carnivora, Felidae.
AUGGGUGGAUCUUAAUCUCAAAUAUCCCCAAGUCUGGAAAAACUGACCUUCUUCAUUUCCCCUUCAGAGCUGGCUUUCUUUGAAGUGUCAGAUUUGAAGCUGGAUGAUCAGGAGGCAGAGAAAACAUCACUGGUUCCUGAGUGGGACCAGGAUGGAAUGUGGGAAUCAAGAACAGAGAAGAAACUCAGGAAAACUCGCCACCAUGGCCGGAAAAAGGUAAUCUCGCACCAUAAAAAGAGGAGACAGUUUCUCAAAAUGUUGUAUGAAACAAUGGAAGAAGUGAAGAGCUGUGAAGAACUUGUUUCAAAUAUGCUACAUGCUCUGAAAUGACCACUGCUUGUAGAAGAUCAGCCACUGGAAGUAUUCGUGGUUUUUCUUUCCUUGACUCAAGAUUUCAGAGAGUGCAACACUGUGAAUACGUGUUACUUUUGUCUACCUCGACCUGGGCUUCCUUGUCACCAGCGCCAUUAGAGGUCUGACGGCCGCAUCGAAAUUUGAGAAAUGAUGUUUUAAAGGCAACUGCAAUUGUGAGAGGUGGAGAGUCCAAUGAACAUACGGUGUUGUUGUAAGAGGUUGUACCAAAAGGUGUCUUGAUGUUCAAUGAUUAUUGUAUCUGUAAAUAAAAUGUAUUAUUUUGAUG